GCCAUUAUAGGUUAAUUGGUAGACGAUCUUUCUUCCAAAAAGAGAAUAUCCGUUCGAGUCGGAUUAAUGGCA
Molecule: non-coding RNA, 72 nt
Organism: Coemansia sp. RSA 2610
Lineage: Eukaryota; Fungi; Kickxellomycota; Kickxellomycetes; Kickxellales; Kickxellaceae
Source: the annotation of a GenBank genome assembly